Labrus bergylta (ballan wrasse) is the source of this 440-nucleotide non-coding RNA. Lineage: Eukaryota; Metazoa; Chordata; Actinopteri; Labriformes; Labridae. The record is from RefSeq and is a predicted model, not a curated record.
UCUUCUUCCUGUGUUACCGCCCUUGGGCUGAGAGCGAAAUCAAGCAGUGAAGACAUCGCAUUCAUUGGAAGACUGGGAACAUUUGGAGGUACCUUAGUUAGGAGCCUUUAAAGUAUCAGGUAGCCUCUUCCUGAUCUGGAGCAGUGAGCCUGAGAAGACAAACCGUGGCUGUGGUCUGCUGUCCAGUGUUCUGCGUAGCAAGCUUUAGCCGGCACCAUGGCGUUGUCGUUCAAGAAGGAUCUGGACAAGUACAAGGAUCUUGACGAAGAUGAAAUCCUCAACAAACUGUCGGCGGAGGAGCUUAAACAGCUGGAGACGGCCCUCGAGGAGAUGGACCCUGAGGUCAGGAUGUGGUCAAAGAUUGAGAAGCUCCAGGGCUUUCAAGAGGAAGGGAGAGGGAGUGUCUGUAGCAGAGGGAGUUAGUGGGCGGAAAAACUAUU